Molecule: ribosomal RNA, 265 nt
Filed under: uncultured bacterium
Lineage: Bacteria
Description: partial 16S ribosomal RNA
Rfam family: Bacterial small subunit ribosomal RNA
Source: RNAcentral
GUCCACGCCGUAAACUAUGAGAGCUAGCCGUUGGAGGGUUUACCCUUCAGUGGCGCAGCUAACGCAUUAAGCUCUCCGCCUGGGGAGUACGGUCGCAAGAUUAAAACUCAAAGGAAUUGACGGGGCCCGCACAAGCGGUGGAGCAUGUGGUUUAAUUCGAAGCAACGCGAAGAACCUUACCAGCCCUUGACAUCCCGGUCGCGACUUUCAGAGAUGAUCGUCUUCAGUUCGGCUGGACCGGUGACAGGUGCUGCAUGGCUGUCGU